AGAGUUUGAUUAUGGCUCAGGAUGAACGCUGGCGGCGUGCUUAACACAUGCAAGUCGAACGAGGCACCUUGCGGAAGUUUUCGGAUGGAAGCGGAGGCGACCGAGUGGCGGACGGGUGAGUAACGCGUGGGAACCUGCCCAGUUCCGGGGAUACCAGUUGGAAACGACUGUUAAUACCGCAUAAACGCACGGAAGGACAUCCUUUUUGUGUGAAAAACUGAGGUGGAAUGGGAUGGCCCCGCGUCUGAUUAGCCAGUUGGCAGGGUAACGGCCUACCAAAGCGACGAUCAGUAGCCGGCCUGAGAGGGCGACCGGCCACAUUGGGACUGAGACACGGCCCAAACUCCUACGGGAGGCAGCAGUGGGGAAUAUUGCACAAUGGGGGAAACCCUGAUGCAGCCGACGCCGCGUGAGUGAAGAAGUAUUUCGGUAUGUAAAGCUCUAUCAGCAGGGAAGAAGAUGACGGUACCUGCACAAGAAGCCCCGGCUAACUACGUGCCAGCCGCCGC
This 509-nucleotide ribosomal RNA is filed under the name uncultured bacterium. RNAcentral describes it as "bacterial SSU rRNA". It matches the Rfam family "Bacterial small subunit ribosomal RNA", at positions 8 to 518 of the family's 1533-position model. The record is from RNAcentral.